This 782-nucleotide ribosomal RNA is filed under the name Acremonium sp. SMH 2748. RNAcentral describes it as "SSU rRNA". It matches the Rfam family "Eukaryotic small subunit ribosomal RNA", at positions 42 to 836 of the family's 1831-position model. The record is from RNAcentral. Lineage: Eukaryota; Fungi; Ascomycota; Sordariomycetes; Hypocreales; Bionectriaceae.
GAUUAGCCAUGCAUGUCUAAGUAUAAGCAAUUAUACGGCGAAACUGCGAAUGGCUCAUUAUAUAAGUUAUCGUUUAUUUGAUAGUACCUUACUACUUGGAUAACCGUGGUAAUUCUAGAGCUAAUACAUGCUAAAAAUCCCGACUUCGGAAGGGAUGUAUUUAUUAGAUUAAAAACCAAUGCCCUUCGGGGCUCCUUGGUGAUUCAUGAUAACUUCGCGAAUCGCAUGGCCUUGCGCCGGCGAUGGUUCAUUCAAAUUUCUUCCCUAUCAACUUUCGAUGUUUGGGUAUUGGCCAAACAUGGUUGCAACGGGUAACGGAGGGUUAGGGCUCGACCCCGGAGAAGGAGCCUGAGAAACGGCUACUACAUCCAAGGAAGGCAGCAGGCGCGCAAAUUACCCAAUCCCGACACGGGGAGGUAGUGACAAUAAAUACUGAUACAGGGCUCUUUAGGGUCUUGUAAUUGGAAUGAGUACAAUUUAAAUCCCUUAACGAGGAACAAUUGGAGGGCAAGUCUGGUGCCAGCAGCCGCGGUAAUUCCAGCUCCAAUAGCGUAUAUUAAAGUUGUUGUGGUUAAAAAGCUCGUAGUUGAACCUUGGGCCUGGCUGGCCGGUCCGCCUCACCGCGUGCACUGGUCCGGCCGGGCCUUUCCCUCUGUGGAACCCCAUGCCCUUCACUGGGCGUGGCGGGGAAACAGGACUGNUACUUUGAAAAAAUUAGAGUGCUCCAGGCAGGCCUAUGCUCGAAUACAUUAGCAUGGAAUAAUAAAAUAGGACGUGCGGUC